AAUUGAUCUGUUGCAGGAGGAGAUAAAACCUGGUACAAUAUGCCUGGCAUCUAGUCCUAUUCUCCCAAGAAGAAUGUGUAUAUCACCAGUAUGUUUGGUCUCCAGGAGAACAUGGGUCUGAGAAUUGGAAGAAAAAUCUUUUAACUCCAUUGCUCUUCCUGUUAUUCAUGUGACAUAAGUAACUUUUCAUGAUGCUGGGUGUCCAGAACGAAGUUCUACCAUUGGCAUUUCCAUAUCAGGGUCUGGAAAGCCAACAGUCUACACUCAAGAGCAUGUGACAUCAUGCCCCAAGGAAGGCAUCUCUUAGGCCCAAACAUCAUAAUGAAACUGAUAUUCAAGAAGCCAGUUCCCUGCAACCCAACUGAACUAGAACCAUGUCUAAACAGACCCAAGAGCCUGGAGAUUCAUGGCUAGCCUGUAAAGCCCAGAUUCCUGUAGCUGGUAAGGAGCCAAGGGGCAGGUGACCUCACUGACCUUUAUGAAUAUGCCCAUUGCCCUAUAGUGUGGCUUUGGCAUGUACUAAGCUCUGUCUCCACUGCCAGACACUGAACCAUCACAAAGACAUGGAACCAGUCCACAAAGACAAGGACCCCUGAGGCCACCUCACUUGAACCCCACCCUAGCUAUCAUUGCAUCUGAUGUCAGAUGCAAUGAAGUGAGCUCUUGGGCCAGAAGGCCUGGGCUGAAAUCUUUG
This 694-nucleotide long non-coding RNA is filed under the name Fukomys damarensis (Damara mole-rat). RNAcentral's name for it is "lncRNA (ENSFDAG00000021887.1)". The record is from RNAcentral. Lineage: Eukaryota; Metazoa; Chordata; Mammalia; Rodentia; Bathyergidae.